Molecule: ribosomal RNA, 370 nt
Filed under: uncultured organism
Description: bacterial SSU rRNA
Rfam family: Bacterial small subunit ribosomal RNA
Source: RNAcentral
CGUAGGGUGCAAGCGUUAAUCGGAAUUACUGGGCGUAAAGCGUGCGCAGGCGGUUAUGCAAGACAGAUGUGAAAUCCCCGGGCUCAACCUGGGAACUGCAUUUGUGACUGCAUGGCUAGAGUACGGUAGAGGGGGAUGGAAUUCCGCGUGUAGCAGUGAAAUGCGUAGAUAUGCGGAGGAACACCGAUGGCGAAGGCAAUCCCCUGGACCUGUACUGACGCUCAUGCACGAAAGCGUGGGGAGCAAACAGGAUUAGAUACCCUGGUAGUCCACGCCCUAAACGAUGUCAACUGGUUGUUGGGAGGGUUUCUUCUCAGUAACGUAGCUAACGCGUGAAGUUGACCGCCUGGGGAGUACGGCCGCAAGGUUG